GAGGAGACAGUGGUUCAGGGGUGCAUGUACACGCCGGACCGCCUCUGUCUUUUUAAGAGACGGGCUCUCAUCUAUGAUAUUCGGUUUCUUCUCUUAUGCACUGCACACAUUAGUUUGGUGGAUUUAUCAUCCAGCUUUGUUCUCGGCUCACUGCAUUCGACACCAGCAGUGAUUGUUGAUUCAUCUUUAUUUAUCACUGAUGGUCAUGGUCAAGAAGAAAGUGGCCCACACACAAGAAACUCACCAUCAGACAGAAAAGCCUUUGGUCCGCUGUGCUAAAUGUGGAGAGGUGUGCAAAGGAGAAGUGUUACGAGUGCAGGCCAAACACUUUCACAUCAAGUGCUUUACAUGCAAAGCAUGCGGCUGCGAUCUGGCUCAGGGAGGAUUUUUCAUGAAGAAUGGAGAAUACCUGUGCACGCUGGACUACCAGCGCAUCCACGGCACCCGCUGUAACAUCUGCGGAGAGUUCGUGGAGGGGGAGGUGGUGACGGCGCUCGGAAAGACCUACCACCCAUCGUGCUUUGUGUGCACGAUCUGCAAGAGGCCGUUUCCUGCUGGUGAUAGAGUGACAUUCAAUGGCAAGGACUGUUUGUGCCAGUAUUGUGCUGAGCCCAUGUCUCCAGGUCCCACCAAAGAAAUCACAGGACCCAGCAGUUGUGCGGGCUGUGGCAGGGAUAUUAAGAACGGUCAGGCUCUGUUGGCUCUGGAGCGUCAAUGGCACUUGGGCUGUUUUAAAUGUAAAGCUUGUGCCAAAGUACUGACUGGAGAGUACAUCAGCAAGGAUGGCGCCCCCUACUGUGAGAGAGAUUAUCAAGUUCUGUUCGGGGUGCAGUGUGAAGCCUGUCAGCAGUUCAUCACUGGGAAAGUUUUGGAGGCAGGAGACAAGCACUAUCAUCCCAGCUGUGCUCGCUGCAGCAGAUGUAAUCAGAUGUUUACAGAGGGAGAAGAGAUGUAUGUGCAAGGAUCGACAGUUUGGCAUCCAAGCUGUAAACAGUCACCUAGAGCGGAGGACAGACCGAGGCUGUUGCCUGCGUCUUUAGCUCUCGUCAGCAAAACAGAAAGGCAGCCGACACGCUCAUCGUCUGAGAGUAUAUGUUCCCGACCUGGUUCAAGCAUACCUGGCUCACCGGGUCACACUUUAUAUGCAAAAGUAGACAAUGAGAUCCUUGAUUACAGAGAUUUAGCAGCCAUUCCCAAAGUCAAAGCCAUUUAUGACAUUGAGCGUCCAGAUCUAAUCAACUAUGAGCCUCUUUAUACCACAUCACUGGAUGAGUCGGAGGAGAUGGAGAGUGUGGGAGAGCUUCAGAGCUCCAGGAGAGAAUGUUCACCCAAGCCAGAUGACAGAACCAGGUCACCUACACCGACUGAUGGUUAUUAUGAUAUGAGAGAACGCAUUCUCCAUAGGUCUACAAGUCAGGGCUCCAUCGGCUCACCCAUUUACAGCCGCUACAAUUACACACCGGCCCUGUCCCGCUCACCACAACACUUCCACAGACCUGGCACUGAGCCGUCCAGCGGUCGGAGUUCUCCAGGUGCCAGCACCCCUCCUCUCUCUCUGACCCCUAAACAUUUUCACCUGCCAGAUCAAGGGAUAAACAUCUAUAGAAAACCACCGAUCUACAAACAAUAUGAUUCAGCUGCUUUUGCAGCCCAGAGCAAGUCGGCUGAUGACAUCAUCAAAUCGGCCAAAUUCCCCUCAGCGUACGCCCCGGGUCCAGACAACCCAGCAAAGACAGAGACCGACAACUGGUCCUUCCCCAUCUCUCACGCUGUCUUAGGGACAGACGGGAGGAGAAGAUCGAGAGAAGAAGAUGAGUUGGAGCAGCACAAACGCAGACAGCUUCAGGAGGAACAUCUCAACAAAAUCCAGUCUGGUUUAGGGAAAAUGAUUCUCAAGGAGGAGAAGGAGAAAGAGAUGACCCGCGAGCAUCACCCACGGAGCCAGUCAGCACAGCGCCACGACCCUGAUCAAUCUAAUGCUAAUGCAGAUUCACCCUCUAAAACGGGCUCAUUGCCUGGAUAUGGACGAAAUGGACUGCAUCGGCCUCAGUCGACUGACUUCACUCAGUAUAACAGUUACGGGGAUGUUUGUGGUGGAGUGAGAGGUCAGUCUAUCUAUUUGUUGUAAUGUUUUCUACAGUAAUUGACCUAAAUCAUAAGAAAGUUUAUAAUGAUAGCAGAUUGCAAUCAAAUGUAGGUCUACACUCUCAGAAUACAUGCAACUUGGGCAGCACCCUUUUUUAAAGGUCCUAAUAUUGUAUGUACCAUUUAGGUACAGAUACUGUAUGUAUACAUUUGGUAUCAAUAUGUACCACUAAGGCACUCUUUAUAGGUGCAAAUGUGUGCAUGUGACAGCUUUUGUAUCUUUAUUUCUGUGAGUGUAUGAAGACAGAUAUUAUGGAUGUAAUGGAGAUGUAUAUGAAGUUUGUGAAGGAUUUUUCACAUUUUAAUAAAAACUCUUUUUUUUUUUUUUUUUUUUUUGCAGAAUUUCAGGUAUGUAGUACACAUAACUUCCUCUUUGAAUUAACAAAUCCAAAUACUAUGAUGCAUGCAUGCGGUACUGAAUUCUUCCUGAAAUCUUAUUUGUAAAUGAUUUUAUAAUGGUGACCCAUUAGUCUAAAGUGCAUCCUUAUACUAAUACGUAAUUUUCUUUGAGAAUUUUUUUAUUUAUUUCUGACAUGACGUGUUUUGUUUCUAGUAUGUGCAGGAUUAUCAUCGUUCAACCACCAGAAUGGAUAGAGGAGUGUCGAUGCCUAAUAUGCUGGAACCAAAAGCAAAUAUAUCCGUACGAAAUGCUAAUGAUAACCAGUCGAAGUCGCUCGAAGCUGCCCAGAGAUGUUGACAGAACUCGACUAGAGCGCCAUCUGGCUCCAGAGAUGUUCUUUGAAAUCUUUGGGAUGGAAAUUCAGGAAUUCGACCGCUUACCUCUUUGGAAACGUAAUGAACUGAAGAAGAAAGCCAAACUCUUUUAAGCAGGAUAUAAUGCGUCUUCAUGCAUUUACAUUAUGUAUCAUCUAUGUUUUAAUCUCUCUUGUUCGCUCUCUAUGGACGUCAAAGCUAUAAUCCAAAACUAUAGCCGCAAAAAAAGUCAGUGCAGAAAUAUCAUCAUAGGAUAUGAGUUUGUUUUGAUUGAAGGGUCUUAAAGGUGCAGUGUGUAAUUUUUAGAAGGAUCUCUUGACAGAAAUGCAAAAUAAUACACAAAACUAUAUAAUUAGGGGUGUAUAAAGACCUUUUUAUAAUGAACCGUUAUGUGUUUAUUGCCUUAGAAUGAGACGUUUUUAUCUACAUACACAGAGGGUCCCCUUACAUGGAAGCCGCCAUUUUGAGCAGCCAUGUUUCAAGCCCUUAACAGACAAAAUUUUUUACUAAGUUGUCUCCAACAAUGACAUGUUUGUCCGGCGGCGGCUACCGUAGCUUAUCUAUGUGUUUCAAAAGCAAGAGGUGAGCUGUGGACUGAGCCGUUGGUUGCAAUUCACAACCUCACCACUAGAUGCCGCUAAAAUUUACACACUGCAUCUUUAACAUUUACUCAAUAGUUUUGUCUCUUUCAUUUCCCUGAUCCAAAAAUAAGUCUUCCUCAUGUUCUUUGUUCUUGUAGGAUAUCUUAGUAAAUUUUGCUCAUGCAGGUAAGAAUGUUGUCUUAUAAUCUGAAUCAUUGUAAGUUACACUGUCAGAAAAAAAAAUGGUCAGAAAUGAUCCCUAGCUAUCACUGGGGCCGUUCCCCCUUCAAAAUGUACACCUUUUUACUUAAAGAGUUCAUAUUAGGACCUCAAAGGUACAUAUUGGGAUGUAUUCAUAUCUGUACCUAAACGUGGAAUGAUAUAGCAUUGUUUGAAACUAUGUUCAUGUAACAUAAAAGCUAGAGGGGCAGAUUCAAAUCUGCCCAUAUGGCUCUCUAUUAGGGCUCGCUGCAUUUCCAUUUAUUACCCACAAAUUUAAAUGGGAAAAAAUGUGGGGCGCUGUUGAGCUUGAUCACCAUACAAACAGUAGCCAACCGAGCUGUGCGCUCAACUUCCAAACAUAUUCAUCUCAUUUUACGUAGUCAAUAAACUUUCAAAUAUUUUUGAAAAAUAUAAGACACAUUUACGAGUUUAUAAGAGUUCUAUAUUUUUAAGCGGAUUAAUAUUUUGGUGGGGCACCUGCCCCACUUGCCCAUAAAGAUGAACUGCGCCUGUAUUAGGACCUGUUUUUUUAAAGGGUUCUGCCCCAGUGACAACUUGGGACCAUUUUGUGUAGUCUGUUUAGUGUCCCACUACAAAAUUUAGUUUUCUUCACUUUUCGUUCAGGAAAGGAUUGUAGAUGCUACGCUGUGUGCCUGUGUCUCUUUGUACCCGUUCAUGUAAAAGUUUCAUAUGCUUUUUAACUUAAUCCAUAUUGCCACUAAUCCAUAUAUUUACACUGUACUACUGUACCAGCCUCUGGAUUUAUUAAAGAAAUAGUUUACACUGAAAUGAUAAUUCUCAUUGUUUACUUCCCUCAAAUUAUUUUUAAGAUGAACCUUAAGGGGUGGUUCCUGGACAGGGCUUAAGCCUAGUCUAAAACUAAAAUACUUGUUUGUAGCGAAAUUAACUUGCACUUACAUAUCUCAAAAUAUAUCCGUGCCAUUGUUUUGUCUCAAGAUGCACACCAGUAAUGUUUUUAAGGUAUGUUUGUCCUAAUAUAAAUAGGCCUAGUCCAGGUUUAAUCUAGGAAACCGCCCCUAAGUGUUUUAGGAUGAAUAAACACCAUAUGGGCUUGAAAGGACAUGAGGGAGAGUAAACAAUGACAGGAGUUAUAUUUUGGGGGGAACAGUGCACUGUGUUGUUUGUACACCUCCAGUUGCAUUAUAUGAACCCACCGGAGGUGCAGAAGUUACACAAUUCAUCUGUUAGCUGUUUGAUUACUGCUGAUCUUCUGUCUUAUAUAUAUUUAAAUGACACAAUACAAAGUUAAGGUAAAAAAUGAACUGCAUUUGACUUUAAAGGGUUUAAACUCGCACUGCCAACUGUUUUUCUGAAUAACAGGAAAUAUUUUAACUUGGAAAAACCAAAAGUUAUAGUUCCCAGCAGUUAUAAAAGAUAUCUACAUUAAUCAAAUCUGACAGAUUACUGUAUUGUGUUCAGUUGUUCAUGCGCAGUUCAUUGGAAUUACGGGCAUUGAAUUUUUAGCAGGACCAAAUCAAAACAGAAACUCGGAUGGAAACAUUCCCAUUAAACACAAACAAGUAAAAUGACAGGUUUGAAUAAAAGAAAUACAUCCGCUUC
Non-coding RNA from Misgurnus anguillicaudatus (oriental weatherfish), 5243 nucleotides. The record is from RefSeq and is a predicted model, not a curated record. NCBI's taxonomy places the organism in Eukaryota, Metazoa, Chordata, Actinopteri, Cypriniformes, Cobitidae.